This is a long non-coding RNA of Lingula anatina, 2041 nucleotides long. Lineage: Eukaryota; Metazoa; Brachiopoda; Lingulata; Lingulida; Lingulidae. The record is from RefSeq and is a predicted model, not a curated record.
CGACUCCUGGUGCUGUACAACUCAUUUGUAGACAAGCAUUUCCUGAACCUUUAUUACAUCUUGUUCUGCCGGAACAUGAUAUUCCUCAAUAGCACCAUCAACCCUAUCCUCUACAAUGCCAUGUCCAUCAAGUUCAGGACAGCGUUUCGAAGGGUAAUUAAUUGCGUUUGGUCCAGGUCGUGGCGUAGAGACAGUCUCCAUUACCACCGCUCCGUGAUCACAAACGGCUCCUUCGCCACCCGUCGCCAUGACUCCACCGGAAGCGGAAACGUGAAGCAGACGAACGGAAAGGUGCUUUAUCGACGCGAGACACAGUCUAUCAUUCUUGCGCAGUGAGAAUAAUUGGAUUAAAUGUGACUGGUUUUAGGCCCUAUUUUCCAAACGUUUAAUUUUUGGAUUGUCGUGCGAUAUUCUUUCUUCUCAAGAAGGCCAAUGGGAAAAAAAUCUCAAAAAGUGUGUAAUUUGUAUUCCUAAAUCCUAUAAUAGGCCUAUUCAAAAUUCUGCAUGCUUCUACUCUACAAGUAAAGCAUUCAAGAGGACAAUUAGGAUUUAUUCAUCUUAAAAGAUUGUAAUUUAUUUCGGUAUCAUCUUUCAUUUGAACAAGGAAGUUGUUAAAAACGCCAUGGAACUAGACGCCAAUGCAGCGCCUUUUUAAAUCAAGGAAAAAUAGAACACGUAAUGCUAAAACCCCACGCUUUUAUUUUCUUGACUGCACUUAUUACUUUUUUCAUUGGUACAUUUGACAUUUAGAAAACACUCACAAAUGUCAUGAGGACAUUAGUACCAAAGCAUUCAGAAUAAAUAUAUUUCUUCGAGCUUUGCAUAAAACCGUUGUCACAUCAACGUAGAUAAUUAAAAAGAAAGCGACAAAUAAGCCUUUCUUUAAUAGAGUAAAUAAUCUAAUUUUUCUCAUAACCACUUUCACGUUUGAUGAAUACUGGGUUAUAUUUAUUUUUACACGAUAUAACUGGAUGCUAUCUCUUUUCUUUAAUCGUUAACUCUCCAUGUUUAUAUAAAAAAAAUAAAAACUAACUAAAUAUUUUUCUACCUCUCCAUGUUACACCACUUAGAACACGUACAAGACAUUUGCCAAAUGUGUAUGAAAAAGGUAUACAUUUUAAGGGGGUUGAUAAUUUUUCACAGGACAAUAUUGUAUCCAAGAUUUCACGGAUACUGUAUCUGUUUUUUACAGUCUUGUUCAGAACAAGGUAUAUUUUAAUUUAUUAAAAUAUUCAAUUCAUUAUUUAAAGGAUAAGUAGGUUCGUAGUGUCACAUUUUAUGCUUUCUCUUUCGUAAAGCACCUGUUCUUGUAAAAUUACGUCACAAGAAUGAAAUGUUGUUCUUAUUUUGUAUGGAAAGUACUAGCGCUGUAGCAGGCCGUAUAAAUGCUGGUAAGACUUACAUAUUAUUGAAAGAAGCUAUUUCGCAAUUGAAAUGCUCAUCAAGUAAUUUAGGGUGUCUUUUUCAAACUGUUAUGACAGAUUUAUCAGUGAUGGCGGGGUUUUAUAUUUACAUUUUUCUAAUUAAAUUGCGUAUCUUUGAGCCGCAAGCUGCCGAAAGUGGAGAUUAUGAUAGAUCCAUUUCAAGUAAUUGUUCUCAGUUGACGUAACAAAAAAGUUCUGUUUCAAUAAACAGGGAGUUAGAUUUAUAGGCCUUUUGUGCAACGCAACUAAUAAAGUCUGAUUGUUUUAUCAUGGCAAAUUGAAGUCACAUAAUUGUUUUUCGAUGCAUAAAAAUUUUGAUAAAAGAUAGCAAUUAGAGUACUAAGCUUUUAAAAUAUAGAAAUAUACUUGAAUUAAAAACAAUAUUUUUUCGUUCUUCAUAAGAUAUAGGCUAUUUUUGUUGUAAGUUUUAAAAGGUAAAGAUAUUGGUCUGUGUAUAUAUGUUUGAUUACUUAGAACAGGGGCAAUUUAAGUAUAUAUUUAUAUAUAACAUCACACCAAAGACAGUUUUAGACAGUGAUAAUGUGAUGACGUGUGAAGGGAAUGUUUUUGCUAUCAUGAAAGGGAACUGUUGUAAAUAAAAUGAUACAAAAUAUGCA